This 467-nucleotide ribosomal RNA is filed under the name uncultured bacterium. Its description in RNAcentral is "partial 16S ribosomal RNA". It matches the Rfam family "Bacterial small subunit ribosomal RNA", at positions 28 to 507 of the family's 1533-position model. The record is from RNAcentral.
GACGAACGCUGGCGGCGUGCUUAACACAUGCAAGUCGAACGGAAAGGCCUCUUUCGGGGGGUACUCGAGUGGCGAACGGGUGAGUAACACGUGAGUAACCUGCCCUUGACUUUGGGAUAACUUCAGGGAACUGGGGCUAAUACCGGAUAGGAGCUCCUGCUGCAUGGUGGGGGUUGGAAAGUUUCGGCGGUUGGGGAUGGACUCGCGGCUUAUCAGCUUGUUGGUGGGGUAGUGGCUUACCAAGGCUUUGACGGGUAGCCGGCCUGAGAGGGUGACCGGCCACAUUGGGACUUAGAGACGGCCCCGACUCCUACGGGAGGCAGCAGUGGGGAAUAUUGCACAAUGGGUGGAAGCCUGAUGCAGCAACGCCGCGUGCGGGAUGACGGCCUUCGGGUUGUAAACCGCUUUCGCUCAUGACGAAGCUUUGUGUGACGGUAGUGGGUAAAGAAGCACCGGCUAACUACGUG